This 77-nucleotide transfer RNA is filed under the name Paracoccaceae bacterium. RNAcentral describes it as "Rhodobacteraceae bacterium tRNA-Met". It matches the Rfam family "tRNA". Rfam says of the family: Transfer RNA (tRNA) molecules are approximately 80 nucleotides in length. Their secondary structure includes four short double-helical elements and three loops (D, anti-codon, and T loops). Lineage: Bacteria; Pseudomonadati; Pseudomonadota; Alphaproteobacteria; Rhodobacterales; Paracoccaceae. The record is from RNAcentral.
GGCGGGGUAGCUCAGCAGGUUAGAGCAGCGGAAUCAUAAUCCGCGUGUCGGGGGUUCAAGUCCCUCUCCCGCUACCA